CGCCAUCAAAACUCCUCUUUCUCAAAUCCCAUCCUAUCUCUCAAUUUUUCUUAACUCAAAUUUCAAGUAAGUUUGCAAUCUUGAUUUUCUAUUAUUCAUGUAUGAAAUAGAAUGUGAAUGUAUGAAUUUCUUAGGAUUUCUAUGCUUCCCACUUUCUUGUUCUUGUUUUAGAUAUGCGUUUCAGAUUAUGAAUCUAUGCUUUUCAAUGAAUAGUUAGCGAUUUUAUGCAAUUUUUUAGAUUGCUUUACGAAUAGUUGGAGGUUUUAUGUAAUUUUUUGGAUUGCUUUUUGAAUUGUUGGGGGUUUUAUGUAAUUCAUAUAGUCGAUACCGACUUACUUGAAUUAAGCCAUAAUGUUUUAUUUACCUAUUAGUGAGGAAAUGAAAAAGUCUAGUGUUUCUUCUUAUUAACAUUAUGAAGUUGAAAUUGCCUGGACCACAUUCUCUCUUUGAUGUAUGUGAAAAUGAAACAAUAUUCUUAAUGAAAUUAUUUUCGGAGGACUGAAAUUGACACCUUUUAUUUAGGGUGGGUUAGCGGGCUCUCGAGAAUUCAGGGGCGGAGCCCAGUAGGGUCGGUGGGGUUCAUUUGGAUUUUCUUCGAUUAAAAAUUACAUUGUUUAUACAUGGUUAAUAUUAUUUUUAAUGUAUUACUUCUUUAUAUUUCAAACUCCCUUAGCGAAAAUUUUGGCCCCUUCAUCAUUCUAGAUAUUAUGCAAAUGAAUUGCCAUUGUUCACUGAUUUUCUAAUACAAAACAUCCAUUAUGUCUUAUCAUGAAUAGCACUACAGAAGAUUCAUAGUUACAUUGAGCCCUAUAUCUUCUAGAUUACAACCAACCCUUGGUCUGGAUAGUUUUUUUGGAAUCUUUGGAGGCGUAAAGUUAGUUUAGUCGGAGAAAACUAUUCCUGAAUAUCCUCUUAGAAGUUUAUUUAUCUGCAGGAGUUUGUCUUCUUUCAGGUUAUUAAUCCUAAGUUUCUUUUUGAUUUAUUGUUAGCUUUUGGAAACUGAGCCACUAAAUUGUGCCACUUAGGUGAGCUCACUAAAUGGAUAGCUAGGCAUGAAAGUGAUCAAACAAAAGCAUAAAUGAUGAUUAAAAGAAAAGAGAAAAAAAAAUAAAAGAAAAUUUGGAAUUCUAAACUAACACUAACCCAGAAAUGCAACUUCUGGUAGUUGUAUACUUUCAGAUAAAAUCAGUAAAAGGGUAGNNNNNNNNNNNNNNNNNNNNNNNNNNNNNNNNNNNNNNNNNNNNNNNNNNNNNNNNNNNNNNNNNNNNNNNNNNNNNNUACUUCUUUAAACACUCUUUCAUCUUUCUUACUUAUUAUGGCAUACUACACAACAUGUUUGAGGUGGAUAUUAGUAUAUUACUAUCCCAUUCUCAAAGCUGGGAUUGGGUAUCCUAGGAUUUGAUUUUAUUUGGUUAAAAAUUAUAAUAGUUUUUGUUUGAGCCGAGGAUUUGUCGAAAAUAAUUUCUCCACUUGUAACAAUUAAAACUUUUUAUGAAUUAUGUUGGGUGCUUUGGUUUGGAAUUUACCUGGUUAAAGAUCAUUCCUUUAACUAAAUGCUAAUGCUUUAUUUCGUUGCACUAUUCUUGGGUUGGGAAACUUUUGUUUUGAUUUCACUUGGUGAAAAAAUUGAAAAUACUUGGAGACUUCUAUUGGGUUCAUUAGCUUGAUUAUACUUGGUUAAAGAUUUUUAAAAAAUUUAGACUUUUAUUACUAGCCUUAGUUUUGAUUUACUUCAUUAAAUGUUGAAAAUAUGUGAAAUGUGUAUUAGAUAUCCUUGGUUUAGAUUCUACUCACUUUAAAAUUGAAUAAAUUGGACUAACUUAAGACUUUUAGUUAUCUGCGUUUUGGAUUGCACUAGGUUUAAAAUUCAUUACUUAAAAUUGUACUUGUUAUGAAAGUUCUAUCAUUUUUUCUUUAUGUUUUAGUGGCUAUUUGUUUUUAUUAAUGUACAAGUUUACUAGAAGUUCUUUGUGCAAAUUUUGAAGUCUAAUGCUAUGUCCUUUACAAAUGUUUCUAGUAUUAACUGAUAGAUUCAUAUGUUCUGCGUCUAUAAUGUGAAUAGAUUUUGUCAAUUUUAUUUUGGUCAGGUCAACUGCCUAUAAAUGUGUUAGUCUAUAGUGGAGGAGGUAGAGCUUUGAUGGUUGGCUUUGUUCCAAAAUCUGCAUGGGUGCGAGUAGCUUCUUCAUUGGCUUGAUGAGUCAAGGGAGAAGAUUUUGGCUUUGAAGCAGCAGAUAGAUGAGCUAUCUAAUGAAGCUAAGGCUUCACAGGAUAGGGAAAGGCAAAGGCUUCGCAGGAUACCUAAUUCGAUGAAUUACUUGCUUCAGGGGGAAUUUCCACUUGUCGUGGUGAUUUCGUUCGCCCUUCUCGACCUCUCCAAUCUCUACCUAUUUCACAUGGAGUAUAUGGUCAAUAUAGAAAUAUGACUGAGAAGCCCAACAAUGAUGGAGAUGAUGGGGAUUAUUGUGUGGACAAUGCACUGCCGCAUUGUUAACGUUGAGCAUUGUGCUAGAUAAUCUUAACAAUGUACAUUAUGAUGAUUUAUUUGAAUUAUUAAGUAUUUUUGAAUACAUGAGAAAUUUGAAGUAGUCUUAUCAAUAGUAUUGUAUAAAUAACUUGACUUCUAUGUUUUUUAAUUCAUUUUGAGGGUGCUUUAAAGUUAAUUUUCAUUUAGUGUUCAUUAGAUGAGAUUUAGUACUUGUGUUUAUUGUAGUUUGAUUGGUGGGAGCUCUUGGAGCUCGAGUUAGCU
This 2746-nucleotide long non-coding RNA is filed under the name Capsicum annuum. RNAcentral's name for it is "long non-coding RNA (CANN_LNC011364)". Lineage: Eukaryota; Viridiplantae; Streptophyta; Magnoliopsida; Solanales; Solanaceae. The record is from RNAcentral.